AACGCUGGCGGCGUGCCUAAUGCAUGCAAGUCGAGCGAACAGACGAGGAGCUUGCUCCUCUGACGUUAGCGGCGGACGGGUGAGUAACACGUGGAUAACCUACCUAUAAGACUGGGAUAACUUCGGGAAACCGGAGCUAAUACCGGAUAAUAUAUUGAACCGCAUGGUUCAAUAGUGAAAGACGGUUUUGCUGUCACUUAUAGAUGGAUCCGCGCCGCAUUAGCUAGUUGGUAAGGUAACGGCUUACCAAGGCAACGAUGCGUAGCCGACCUGAGAGGGUGAUCGGCCACACUGGAACUGAGACACGGUCCAGACUCCUACGGGAGGCAGCAGUAGGGAAUCUUCCGCAAUGGGCGAAAGCUUGACGGAGCAACGCCGCGUGAGUGAUGAAGGUCUUCGGAUCGUAAAACUCUGUUAUUAGGGAAGAACAAAUGUGUAAGUAACUAUGCACGUCUUGACGGUACCUAAUCAGAAAGCCACGGCUAACUACGUG
This 493-nucleotide ribosomal RNA is filed under the name uncultured bacterium. Its description in RNAcentral is "partial 16S ribosomal RNA". It matches the Rfam family "Bacterial small subunit ribosomal RNA", at positions 32 to 507 of the family's 1533-position model. The record is from RNAcentral.